Sapajus apella (tufted capuchin) is the source of this 1243-nucleotide long non-coding RNA. RefSeq lists it as uncharacterized. The transcript is spliced from 2 exons. The record is from RefSeq and is a predicted model, not a curated record. NCBI's taxonomy places the organism in Eukaryota, Metazoa, Chordata, Mammalia, Primates, Cebidae.
GGCAACAGAACGAGACCUUGUUUCCUUCUCUCCCUCCCCAAAAAGAUGAUAGGUUUUUUUUUUUUUUAACUAUAUGACAUUACCAUGUUUUGUGGGUACCAUUAGCAAUUCUAUAUGGUUCAUUCUACUAGACUGUUCAUAGCAGCACUAUUUUUUGUAGAGAAAGACUGGAAACUUCCCAAAUGGUCAUCUGCAGUAGCAUGGUUAAAUACUGUAGUACUUCACCGGUGGAAUAUAGCGAACUACAACUACUUGCAAGAAAAUGCAUGAAUCUUAUGAAAAUAAGAUUGGACAAAGGCAGUAUAUCACAAAAGAGUACAUACUAUAUGAUUCCAUUUUCACAAAGUAUGAAAACAGGCUGAACUACUACUCUGUGGUGUUAGAAAUCAGGAUAGUGGUUACCCUUAUCAGGAGGAAGUGACUAGAGGGUAAGCACAAGGCAGGAGCUUUUAGAAUGCAGGAAAUGUUUGCUUUCCUGAUGCUAGUUGUGUGGAUGUGGUCAGUUUUACAAAUUCAGUGAAUCGUAUAAUUAUGACAUGUACCUUUCUGCAUGUAUAUUACACUAACAUAAAAAGGUAAAAAGAAAAAUCCUAAAUCUAAUUUAAGUUUCAAUUUAACACCAUAGGCUUUUUCUUCUGCUUCCCUCAGUUCUUGUUUGUAUAUAUUUUGACCUGUAGUGAAAAAUCUUGAUACCCCAAAACACCAACAUAUUUAUUCAUUUGCUCAAUCCUACAGUAUAUAAAAUCAUUUCAGAGUUACAACACCAACAAUUUUACUAUUACUAACAAAUCUAUUAAGGUCAAGGUUUCUUUUCAGUUCUUUUUGUUCUUAAACUGUAUCUCAUUGAGGGUAUACAAUCAAGACUGCAUUCAAAAGCUGCUUUCUUUCAUUUCAUACUAGUUUUUAAAAAUAUUUUUAUAUCUUUUUGAUAGAUUUUCUUGGGAACCUAUUGGAAAUAAGUCAGAUAUGACCAUUUAAAGAGACUAAAGAAGUGAUUCAAUUUCUCAUGUAAGGAAAAUAAUUUGUAGGGAGAUCAAGUCAUUGCAGCCUAGACUAUUAUUAUCUUCAACACAUUUUCUAAUAUUAUAGCAUUAUCCUAUCAAUUAAUAUUAUAUAGAAGCCCCAGCUAUGUUUGCUGUUGAUUAAUAUUGCAUACUGAAAGAUCAAGGCCACAUGAAAGCCAUUUUUCCAAAUAGUUCACAUGUAUGUGUAUUGCACUUUAAAAAAAAAAAAAAAAAAAAAA